UACGGAGGGUGCGAGCGUUAAUCGGAAUUACUGGGCGUAAAGCGCGCGUAGGCGGUUUGAUAAGUCGGGUGUGAAAGCCCCGGGCUUAACCUGGGAAUUGCAUUCGAUACUGUCAGGCUAGAGUAUGGUAGAGGAAAGCGGAAUUCCACAUGUAGCGGUGAAAUGCGUAGAUAUGUGGAGGAACACCAGUGGCGAAGGCGGCUUUCUGGACCAGUACUGACGCUGAGGUGCGAAAGCGUGGGGAGCAAACAGG
Molecule: ribosomal RNA, 253 nt
Filed under: uncultured bacterium
Lineage: Bacteria
Description: partial 16S ribosomal RNA
Rfam family: Bacterial small subunit ribosomal RNA
Source: RNAcentral